This is a long non-coding RNA of Panthera uncia (snow leopard), 2810 nucleotides long. RefSeq lists it as uncharacterized. The transcript is spliced from 2 exons. The record is from RefSeq and is a predicted model, not a curated record. NCBI's taxonomy places the organism in Eukaryota, Metazoa, Chordata, Mammalia, Carnivora, Felidae.
GGUGGUUUCUUGCCUUUGAGUUCUUGAGACGUCAUUGUAGUGUCCUUAUGAUCUCACGUUGGUCCAGUCUUGUGGCCCUUCUAACUCAGUGGUAGAAAAACAUAAGAAUUACAAGCAUCACAGACCUCCCCUUUUCCUCUAACCUUGGUAUCCAAACCAAAUUUAUAGCCUUAUGCUUGCAUAGGAAUAGAGAGUAGUUUUUUGAGGGAAAUCCCUUUUGGUCAUUGAAAAAUGUUUAUUCGGCAUCUCUUGUGUCCUAGGCACGGCGAGGGUCUUUUGUGUGUUCCUUGGUCUGUUUGUCAGGGUUGGAACAUAAAGAAACUAUGGCUUUUUGGGAAGUAGCAAAGUGGUCUAUCUUCAUUUUUAUGAUAAUAAUUAUAACGAAUACUUGAAUGGAAUUUCACACUUUUAAUGUACUUUUCCUUGUGUUGCCAUUUUAAUCCUUAUCACCACCCAAUGAAGCAGAUACUAUCAUGAGUCCACUUUUUUUUUUUUUUUUUUUUUUUUUUAAACGAAGAAGCAUGUUCAGAGGAGAGGAUGAAUCGACCUGUUUGAGGUCACGCAUCUGGUGACCGUUAUGCAUGCUCAUUGGGAAAACGUUCUUUGGAGCGAGGGUUCGCGCUGUAAGGGGACGGUGUGGUCCAAACGUGCGUUAAGUUGACUGGUCCAAACGUGUGUUAAGUUGACUGGUCCAAACGUGUGUUAAGUUGACUGAGCGGUGAUGGCACAGGUAUUUGCAACCCAGGCAGGAGACGAUGAUCCCCUUGCAAAGAGUUCACCUCCCGGCCUCUUUUUUCUUCCCUCCUCUGUUUCCGGUUCUUGUUCUUGCAGAACUUCCUUAUUCCCUGUGAGCCCUUCCUCCUGCUCUUACCUCUCGGUGAAGGUGGAUGGUUGGGGCUGCUUGGACCCGUGGUGGUGGUGAUGGGGUCUGAUGGAACAGCCAUCGGCACCCCGUUGAAUCACGAGAAGCGCAUGGCCCUCCGCAGACGGGGCAGAGCGCCCCCCUCCAUUGCUCACCGCUUGCCAGCGUUUGCCCCGGUGUUUUUCAUGCUAAGCUCAUUAGUCCCUUAAUUUAAUCUUCCAUCAUUACCAGAGUCAUUAACGUCCCUCGCUGUGGAGACUUCAAAAGAACACGGCUUCAGCAGAUUCCUGCAAAUGAGCAGAUAAUAUUCAAAUAUGCUCCUCACGAGAGCUGUUACUGAUGAGGGUUUGGGUUAGUAGGGUUGGAGUGGUUGCUCUCAAGGGCUGGAGUGCAUACUUUCAUAAUAAACAUUUCUGAAGAUACUUCUGUAAGGGACAAAACAGUGUGUGGAAAACCACCUAAACUGGUAAGAGAGCUGUUUUCUUUGCUGAGAGGAGAAAAUAGAACAGGGACCAAAGUAGAAAAAAAGCACAUUUGUAGUGUAGACCACCUCCCAAAUGUAAAAAAAAAAAAAAAAAAAAGAAAAAGAAAAAAGACGCAUGGCACAGAAGGCAGGGGUGUACCAGGAAAGGAAAGGAUGGUUUCCUAGGGCUGAUGGGAACCACAGCAUCUUUGUAAAGAUUGAGGUAAUCUGGGCAUCUGGUAAUCUGGGCAUCCGUUUUGUUUUUUUUUUAAUGUUUAUUUUUGAGAGAAAAAGAGAGCAUGAACGGGGAAGGGGCAGAGAGAGAAGGAGACAGAAUCUGAUAGAGGCUCCAGGCUCUGAGCUGUCAGCACAGAGCCCCACGUGGGGGCUUGAACCCACAAGCCAUUAGAUCAUGACCCGAGCUGAAGUCGGACACUCAACUGACUGAGCCACCCAGGCACCCCUGGGCACCCUUUUUAAAAAUGAAGUCGUCUUCCUUCCUUUAUGAGGACUGUAAUAACACAGAUGUCUGGGCUCUUCCUAGGCUGGGAUUGGUCAAGAAUUCUGUUCCUUUCCUAAGCACUGAACACCAGAAAUGGGAAAUGUUCCUCUGUCCCUAAUCCUAAGGCAAGUCUUUCCGGACUCAGGCUCUGCUAUAAAGGCAUCAGGUGGUUAGAAGGAAAACCAGAGCCCCAGCAUGGGGUUUGCAGAUGUUGGAGAUGCGGGGUGGAAAGCUUGCUGCUGUGAACGUAUCCUCCACGACCCCCUGUGGCAGCUUCGAUGAGAGUCCUUGACUUCCCUGUCACGUACAGGCUUGGCAGUUUUCGUCUUAACGGCCCCCUUCACUGGGAAUUACAGUGGGAAGCUUCCCUUGAAAACCAGAAGAAGAGAUUAGUUACCCCGUGGUGGCGGCUUAGACAUUUUUGAAGUAAAAUGAGACCAAAGGAAAAGUAGGCAGACUUAACCUUUAUUAAAAAUUGUAUGUAGGGGCACCUGGGUGUUAAGUGUCCAACUCUUGAUUUCGGCUCAGGUCACGAUCUCCUGGUUCAUGAGACCGAGCCCCACGUUGGGCUCUGUGCUGACAGCGUGGAGCCGGCUUGGGAUGCUCUCUCUCCCUCUCUCUCUGCCUCACCUGCUUGCGUGCUCUCUCUCGAAAUAAAUAAUCUUUAAAAAAAAAAACUGUAGGUAGAUUUUUGGGGGGGGAUGCAUUAUCUGUCUUCUAGCUGGGAAGCAGGCAGCUAGUCCACGUGAACUCAAUGAAGGGAAUCAGAGAGAGCGAAAAACGGUCACCCUGCAGGCCUGCGGCAGAGAGAUUCAGGUCUUGGUCCCACACACAGCAUACUGUCCAAAUGGACACGUUAGACGUGGACGGGGCUGUGCUGCUUGUGUCCAUCGCUGUGGAAAAAUCUGAAUAUUUUCUCGGCCGUUCCCUAAGUAGAAGAGAGAGAAGACUAGCUCCUCCGGUGACUGGCUGUCUGACAUUAA